This 600-nucleotide ribosomal RNA is filed under the name Marinobacter sp. CY-C2-17-1. RNAcentral describes it as "bacterial SSU rRNA". It matches the Rfam family "Bacterial small subunit ribosomal RNA", at positions 89 to 685 of the family's 1533-position model. Lineage: Bacteria; Pseudomonadati; Pseudomonadota; Gammaproteobacteria; Pseudomonadales; Marinobacteraceae. The record is from RNAcentral.
CGUCGAGCGGCGGACGGGUGAGUAAUGCUUAGGAAUCUGCCCAGUAGUGGGGGAUAGCCCGGGGAAACUCGGAUUAAUACCGCAUACGCCCUUUUGGGGAAAGCAGGGGAUCUUCGGACCUUGCGCUAUUGGAUGAGCCUAAGUCGGAUUAGCUUGUUGGUGAGGUAAAGGCUCACCAAGGCAACGAUCCGUAGCUGGUCUGAGAGGAUGAUCAGCCACAUCGGGACUGAGACACGGCCCGAACUCCUACGGGAGGCAGCAGUGGGGAAUAUUGGACAAUGGGGGCAACCCUGAUCCAGCCAUGCCGCGUGUGUGAAGAAGGCUUUCGGGUUGUAAAGCACUUUCAGUGAGGAGGAAGGCUUUCAGACUAAUACUCUGGAGGAUUGACGUCACUCACAGAAGAAGCACCGGCUAACUCCGUGCCAGCAGCCGCGGUAAUACGGAGGGUGCAAGCGUUAAUCGGAAUUACUGGGCGUAAAGCGCGCGUAGGUGGUUGAGUAAGCGAGAUGUGAAAGCCCCGGGCUUAACCUGGGAACGGCACUUCGAACUGCUCGGCUAGAGUGUGGUAGAGGGUAGUGGAAUUUCCUGUGUAGCGGUGAA